Molecule: ribosomal RNA, 945 nt
Filed under: Triticum aestivum (bread wheat)
Lineage: Eukaryota; Viridiplantae; Streptophyta; Magnoliopsida; Poales; Poaceae
Description: partial small subunit ribosomal RNA
Source: RNAcentral
AUGUUGGCUUUAGUUUUUCUUUUCUUUUUUGCAACCAGGGAUUGCACUUCCCUUGAAAAAUUACACAGUGCUUGUCCAUUUUAUAUGCUGUCAUCAGUUAUCAGUUAUGCAUGCCAGUUCAUGGGAGUCAGUUGUUCAAAACUAAACCAUUUGUCCGUCUUUGUAAAGGUUCCAGAAUAUAACAUUUCCCCCAUGUUUCCAAAUUCAAAAGGCACUAUAAACCAACUUUGCAAAGAGAGGAACACAAGAACACAGAACGACAUUACAGGAUCAUGUCACUAUCUCAGUAGUCUCAGAAGUCAGGCCAACACUAUAGCUAUCUCAGACAACCACUUCCCUGUCAAAGAUCCAGCUGAACUUGACCUUCCUGGGCUCGUCCUUCUUGGCCCUGUCGGCCGCCCUCUCCGCCGCGCGCCGCAUCCUCGGCGCGAGCCCGCAGACGAAGUCCCGGGCCCGCCGCCCUUCGCUGGAGAGCCCGCCCUCCAGCGCCUCCAGCUUCCACCGCUUGACGAGGAACUCGACGAUGUCGGUGUAGUCCUGCGCGGUGUACACGCCGAGGCGCUGGGCCACAGACGCGAAAUGCUCGAACAGGUCCAUGUCGCUGCCGUCGUGCAUGAGGUGCGCGGGCAUGGUGAUCCGCUUGCGCAUCAUGUCGGCGAUGGCGAGCAUGGCGCCCUCCGGGUCGAGCCGCAGCAGCUGCUCCACGAUGCGGCUGUAGGCCGUCUCGUGGCGCUUCUCGUCGGCGGCGAUGGUGCCGCAGGUGCGCGCCAGCACGUCGUCGCCGUGCGCCUUGGCGAGCCGCGCGGUGUUGCCGUGGGAGACGGCCGUCGCGCGCUCCUGGAAGCUCGUGUACACGAAGCCCAGGUACGGGUUGUUCUCCGUCCUCGGGUCCUGCAAUUGUUCAGCAUGUCCGAUGAGAUUGUACAACUAAACAGGAGGAAUUGA